RNAcentral lists this ribosomal RNA (424 nucleotides) under uncultured Bacteroides sp. RNAcentral describes it as "bacterial SSU rRNA". It matches the Rfam family "Bacterial small subunit ribosomal RNA", at positions 338 to 759 of the family's 1533-position model. Lineage: Bacteria; Pseudomonadati; Bacteroidota; Bacteroidia; Bacteroidales; Bacteroidaceae. The record is from RNAcentral.
CCUACGGGGGGCAGCAGUGAGGAAUAUUGGUCAAUGGACGAGAGUCUGAACCAGCCAAGUAGCGUGAAGGAUGACUGCCCUAUGGGUUGUAAACUUCUUUUAUACGGGAAUAAAGUGAGGCACGUGUGCCUUUUUGUAUGUACCGUAUGAAUAAGGAUCGGCUAACUCCGUGCCAGCAGCCGCGGUAAUACGGAGGAUUCAAGCGUUAUCCGGAUUUAUUGGGUUUAAAGGGUGCGUAGGCGGUUUGAUAAGUUAGAGGUGAAAUUUCGGGGCUCAACCCGGAGUGUGCCGUUGAAACUGGCGAGCUAGAGUACACAAGAGGCAGGCGGAAUGCGUGGUGUAGCGGUGAAAUGCAUAGAUAUCACGCAGAACCCCGAUUGCGAAGGCAGCCUGCUAGGGUGAAACAGACGCUGAGGCACGAAAG